RNAcentral lists this ribosomal RNA (259 nucleotides) under Nitrosococcus oceani C-27. Its description in RNAcentral is "partial 23S ribosomal RNA". It matches the Rfam family "Bacterial large subunit ribosomal RNA", at positions 705 to 963 of the family's 2925-position model. Lineage: Bacteria; Pseudomonadati; Pseudomonadota; Gammaproteobacteria; Chromatiales; Chromatiaceae. The record is from RNAcentral.
GGGUGUAGACCCGAAACCAGAUGAUCUACUCAUGGCCAGGAUGAAGCGAGGGUAACACCUCGUGGAGGUCCGAACCCACUAAUGUUGAAAAAUUAGGGGAUGAGCUGUGGGUAGGGGUGAAAGGCUAAACAAAUCUGGAAAUAGCUGGUUCUCUCCGAAAACUAUUUAGGUAGUGCCUCAUGUAUCACCUUUGGGGGUAGAGCACUGUUAUGGCUAGGGGGUCAUUGAGACUUACCAAACCAUUGCAAACUCCGAAUAC